Molecule: long non-coding RNA, 2268 nt
Organism: Columba livia (rock pigeon)
Lineage: Eukaryota; Metazoa; Chordata; Aves; Columbiformes; Columbidae
Exons: 4
Source: RefSeq, a predicted model, not a curated record
UAUUAUCAUGUAUUACCUUAGCUGUGGAAACUCCUCAUUACUAAGUUAAUAAAAUAUUUUUCUUCCUUCCCCCAUAAUUUUUCAUAACAAAAAGAUACAUGUCUUUGCAUUCAGAAUGAUCAAUAUCUCCACUUACGUAGGCAGGUGGUCACAUGUUCUUUGUUUUACUUUGUUUUUAUUUUUUCUAGGUUUUUUUUAUCAGGGCUGCAGGCGGCACAGGAAACGAGGGGGAUUCUGUUUUUCCAAAGGUCAGGCUUGGAUAUGCCAGUGAUUGCCUGGCUUGCAUAUGUGGAAAAACACCGUCAAAGAGCACAGCGGCUCUUUAUUUUUAAUUGUGCCUCCCAAGAUUGAUUUACCAUCCUCUGUCUUCCCCGUUGGAAACUGAAGAGGGCACAAUGCCUAUGUUAUAUAGGUACCAAGCUGAAGCUGGAGUGGAAGAAGAAAGUUUGUUCUGAAAAAGCAGCAGUGCUGGAAUGGGAUGUGGAGACUUGGAUUGUUUUUCAGUUCCAGAGACAUGUAUGGAUGAUAAAGAUGAUAAAGAAAGGGUAUAGAAGGACAAAAUCAGUAAAAUGAUGGUCGAGGUUUUCAGAAGCAAUUGUGAAGGCUACAUCACCAAUCCAGCUACUGCUGAGAAUCCAGAAUGUGGUUACACAACACUUGCUAAAAUUCAGCUCCCUUUGAAGAAUGCUGAACUGGCACCUUAAAGUCACCGGUAAGUUUAAACAAGCACAGCCUGUUGCUGCAGCCUAUCUUUUCAUCCUUCAGUACAAAAGAGUUAGGCUAGAGGACAUUGCAAGUGGAUUUUCAGGAUGAAAUCCAUCAAGUCCAAAACAAAUAUCAUCUCAGCAACUUAGGAGAAAGAUUUUCACUCUAAGGAUUCAGGUUGCUUUCCUUGAGCUCCUCAGACCUCUGUCCCCUUCCUGUGCCAGCUCAUCUCUGCAUUGAUUUCAUGACGUGUAGUAUCACUGCUGGUAACUAUCAGCAAAGCCAGUUAUCCAAAGACCUGCACAGGGGAGACUGCUUUCCACUCUGUGAGCUCUGGCCCUAUUGUUUAUGACAGCACUAGGUGACCUAAUUCACUCCAGUGAGUCCAUCACACAUGGUGGUUUUCUCCUCUGGCAGGCUAUUGUUACCAUCCCUCCUGCUAGUAAUCUGCUAGCCUUAGCCUCAUGUUCAUGCAAACACAAAACUACACCCUGAUGGGGCCAUUAUUGAAAGAUCAUCUAGUUAGUGGAUAUUUACAUGGGCAUAGUGAGCACAGGACAUGAGCCUAGAGCUACUUGGACAAACCUUAGCAUAGCAUACUAUGUGGAGUGCUUUGAGUUCUUAUUUUAGCUUCUCUGACCAGCACUGGAGCAGGAUAGAGAUCUGCUGAUACUGAGAUGUUCAUGGUGUUAUUACAACACAGUUAUAAGCUGUUAAGUCUAUAACCAGAUAGAAAGCCCUGUUCACUACGACCCUACAUACAUGGACAUCUUUUGGGGCAGAAAGUUUCUCCUGCACAAAGCACAGACAGGAAUGAAGGCACAAUCUCCCCAAAGAAAAUCCCUAGUAGUUGUAAAGGUGUAUUUAGUCAAACAGUUUUUAUUCUGUUCCAUAGAGAGCACUGGUACAUACAUGCAUAUGUGUGUAUUUACAAACACAUACAUUACCGUGUUUUAGAUUGCGGAGUGAAUGGAUAUCUUAUUUUAGUGUAGAUUAUUCUGUGAUUUGACAGAGGGUGAGAACAAAGAAAAGAUGACAUUACUCCAAGGAGUUAAAGAAAGGUUUUGAAUUCUUCCUGCCUGCUCAGGCCAGUGUUAUGUAAGUCCCCAGGAGGACUCCCUGGAAAAUUGAACAAAGUCUAGCAGAGGAACAUAACCCAGUAGCCACUCACACUCUUAGCCAGGGAUCUAAGUGAAUGUUGAUGAGAAGGGGAGUAGGUGGAGAUGUCUCCAUGAGAUUGAAAAUCUCAGCAGGACCUGGCAUGGAUUCCUCUGGAAGGAGCUGCUCUUGCCUAGAGCAAUGUUGCUCUGAAGGAGCUGAGCAUUUGUAUUGAGCUGAGAGGAGUGGUCAUCACACUGCUGCUGGCAUCCCAAGCUUUAUAUGUAUUCUGACUAUAGGAAGAUUUUUACAUCUUUUCAUCUAAAAUUGUUGUUAAGCAGAAGGAAUGAUGUUCCGUCCAUGCUAGUGUUUCAAGUUAGGUGAUAAAAAAGAAUUUCUAGCUGUGAAAUAACCACUUUGUUCUACUUACUGCUCAAAUGAAACCUAAGCAGAAUUCUGCUCUUU